This 737-nucleotide ribosomal RNA is filed under the name Lelliottia sp. RNAcentral's name for it is "bacterial SSU rRNA". It matches the Rfam family "Bacterial small subunit ribosomal RNA", at positions 563 to 1291 of the family's 1533-position model. The record is from RNAcentral. Lineage: Bacteria; Pseudomonadati; Pseudomonadota; Gammaproteobacteria; Enterobacterales; Enterobacteriaceae.
AAGCGCACGCAGGCGGUCUCGUCAAGUCGGAUGUGAAUCCCCGAGGCUCAACCUGGGACUGCAUUCUUAACUGGCAGGCUAGAGUCUGUGUAGAGGGAGGUAGAAUUCCAGGUGUAGCGGUGAAAUGCGUAGAGAUCUGGAGGAAUACCGGUGGCGAAGGCGGCCCCCUGGAAAAAGACUGACGCUCAUGUGCGAAAGCGUGGGGAGCAAACAGGAUUAGAUACCCUGGUAGUCCACGCCGUAAACGAUGUCGACUUGGAGGUGGUUCCCUUGAGGAGUGGCUUCCGGAGCUAAGGCGUUAGUUCAACCGCCGGGGGAGUACGGCCGCAGAGUAAAAACUAAAAUGAAUGGACGGGAGCCCGCACAGCCGGGGAAGCAGGGGGUUAAUUUCAAUGAAACGCAAAGAACCUUACCUACUCUGGACAUCCAGAGAAGUUAGCAGAAAUGCUUUGUUGCCUUCGGAAACUCUGAAACAGGUGCUGCAUGGCUGUCGUCAGCUUCGUGUUGUGAAAUGUUGGGUUAAAGUCCCCGCAACGAGCGCAACCCUUAUCCUUUGUUGCCAGCGGUUCGGCCGGGAACUCAAAGGAGACUGCCAAUGAUAAACUGGAGUGAGGUGGGGAUGACGUCAAGUCGUCAUGGCCCUUACGAGUAGGGCUACACACGUGCUACAAUGGACAUAUACAAAGAGAACGCGACCUCGCGAGAGCAAUGCGGAACAUCACAAAUCUAUGUCGUAG